RNAcentral lists this ribosomal RNA (216 nucleotides) under Glomeromycotina sp. RNAcentral describes it as "partial small subunit ribosomal RNA". The stretch from base 92 to 216 matches the Rfam family "Eukaryotic small subunit ribosomal RNA", at positions 738 to 864 of the family's 1831-position model. The record is from RNAcentral. Lineage: Eukaryota; Fungi; Glomeromycota.
GGGUCAGUAGGUUGGUCGUGCCACCGGUACGUACUGGUCUCGCUGAUUCCUCCUUCCUGAAGAGCCGUAAUGCCAUUAAUUUGGUGCUGCGGGGAAACAGGACUGUUACUUUGAAAAAAUUAGAGUGUUUAAAGCAAGCUAACGCUUGAAUACAUUAGCAUGGAAUAAUGAAAUAGGACGAUCGAUCCUAUUUUGUUGGUUUCUAGGAUUGACGUA